AUCUGAGACUUGGGAAGAGCAU
This 22-nucleotide microRNA is filed under the name Betapolyomavirus hominis. RNAcentral describes it as "bkv-miR-B1-5p". Its record names the gene bkv-miR-B1-5p. Lineage: Floreoviria; Shotokuvirae; Cossaviricota; Papovaviricetes; Sepolyvirales; Polyomaviridae. The record is from miRBase by way of RNAcentral.